This 200-nucleotide unclassified non-coding RNA is filed under the name Mortierellales sp. Its description in RNAcentral is "partial internal transcribed spacer 2". The record is from RNAcentral. Lineage: Eukaryota; Fungi; Mortierellomycota.
UUAAGUUCAGCGGGUAGUCUUACUUGAUUUGAGAUCGAGUUUACAAAGCCGUUUUACCGGCCAUGUGUAAUUCUGCAUCAGUCAGUCAAGAGCUCUUCCUUUGGUGUAAGCUUCAGCAGAUUAAUAAUCCUUUUUACGGGACUAAUUAAGUAUGCUAUUAGCUCAGAAGAAAACUCAGCUGCACCUGCAUUUCAAGCAAC